This is a long non-coding RNA of Culex quinquefasciatus (southern house mosquito), 452 nucleotides long. RefSeq lists it as uncharacterized. Lineage: Eukaryota; Metazoa; Arthropoda; Insecta; Diptera; Culicidae. The transcript is spliced from 2 exons. The record is from RefSeq and is a predicted model, not a curated record.
CCCGGAUGUAUUGCCGUUGAGCUCGAUGGGGGUUGUGAUAGGUUACCACCCCUGCACGGGUUUACCAACCCUGCAUAGCUAAUUAGUUGCAACCCAUCAUUUACUGCCUCACACUUCAAUUUUAAUUUAUUGCCCUGCCUGGCUGAGUGAGCCACACACAGCCAGGCCCAGGACUCAAAUUACAUAACAAUCGGUUCAAUAUGCGCUGGCAUAACUGCUGUGCUUGCGCAUGGGACUGUUUCGGGUUGUACAAUUUUUCGGGUUUUACGGCAAAGUGGCCAUGCGCUGGAUAAUGCUGAUCCAGCGCAAAGGACACUUCGGGCCAUAAACAAAGAGAGCCAACUCCAGAUGUCUCCAAUGAGUAAACUCUACAAAUACGAUGUAAGAAAUGUAACCAAACUCAUAUAAAAGGGCCAGGAGCCACCAAAUAAAGGAAUUCUUUCUAGAACACA